Molecule: microRNA precursor, 129 nt
Filed under: Microtus ochrogaster (prairie vole)
Lineage: Eukaryota; Metazoa; Chordata; Mammalia; Rodentia; Cricetidae
Description: miRNA (ENSMOCG00000006606.1)
Source: RNAcentral
GGUUUCUCUGUAUAGCCCUUGGCUGUCCUGGAACUCACUCUGUAGACCAGGCUGGCCUUGAACUCACAGAGAUCCACCUGCCUCUGCCUCCCGAGUGCUGGGAUUAAAGGUGUACGCCACCAUUGCCUG